Molecule: ribosomal RNA, 492 nt
Filed under: uncultured bacterium
Lineage: Bacteria
Description: partial 16S ribosomal RNA
Rfam family: Bacterial small subunit ribosomal RNA
Source: RNAcentral
AGUGAACGCUGGCGGUAGGCCUAACACAUGCAAGUCGAACGGCAGCACAGUAAGAGCUUGCUCUUACGGGUGGCGAGUGGCGGACGGGUGAGGAAUACAUCGGAAUCUACUUUUUCGUGGGGGAUAACGUAGGGAAACUUACGCUAAUACCGCAUACGACCUACGGGUGAAAGCAAGGGAUCUUCGGACCUUGCGCGAUUGAAUGAGCCGAUGUCGGAUUAGCUAGUUGGCGGGGUAAAGGCCCACCAAGGCGACGAUCCGUAGCUGGUCUGAGAGGAUGAUCAGCCACACUGGGACUGAGACACGGUCCAGACUCCUACGGGAGGCAGCAGUGGGGAAUAUUGGACAAUGGGCGCAAGCCUGAUCCAGCCAUACCGCGUGGGUGAAGAAGGCCUUCGGGUUGUAAAGCCCUUUUGUUGGGAAAGAAAAGCAGCAGGUUAAUACCCCGCUGUUCUGACGGUACCCAAAGAAUAAGCACCGGCUAACUUCGUG